GGUGGGGGGAGUAACGUUCGGUAAACGGAACGCUAAUACCGCAUACGUCCUCGGGAGAAAGACGGGGGAGUCUUCGGUACCUCGCGCCAUUAGAUGAGCCUAGGUCGGAUUAGCUAGUUGGUGAGGUAAUGGCUCACCAAGGCGACGAUCCGUAACUGGUCUGAGAGGAUGAUCAGUCACACUGGAACUGAGACACGGUCCAGACUCCUACGGGAGGCAGCAGUGGGGAAUAUUGGACAAUGGGCGAAAGCCUGAUCCAGCCAUGCCGCGUGUGUGAAGAAGGUCUUCGGAUUGUAAAGCACUUUAAGUUGGGAGGAAGGGUAGUAACCUAAUACGUUGCUACUUUGACGUUACCGACAGAAUAAGCACCGGCUAACUUCGUG
Molecule: ribosomal RNA, 383 nt
Filed under: uncultured bacterium
Lineage: Bacteria
Description: bacterial SSU rRNA
Rfam family: Bacterial small subunit ribosomal RNA
Source: RNAcentral